CCUACGGGAGGCUGCAGUAGGGAAUAUUGCUCAAUGGGGGAAACCCUGAAGCAGCAACGCCGCGUGGAGGAUGAAGGUUUUAGGAGUGUUAACUCCUUUUGUUAGAGAAGAUUAUGACGGUAUCUAACGAAUAAGCACCGGCCAACUCCGUGCCAGCAGCCGCGGUAAUACGGAGGGUGCACGCGUUACUCGGAAUCACUGGGCGUAAAGAGUGCGUAGGCGGGGUAAUAAGUCAGAUGUGAAAUCCUGUAGCUUAACUACAGAACUGCCUUUGAAACUGUUACUCUGGAGUGUGGGAGAGGUAGGUGGAAUGCGUGGUGUAGCGGUGAAAUGCGUAGAGAUCAAGAGGAAUACUGAUUGCGAAGGCGACCUGCUGGAACAUUACUGACGCUGAUGCACGAAAGCGUGGGGAGCGAACAGGAUUAGAUACCCGAGUAGUC
RNAcentral lists this ribosomal RNA (440 nucleotides) under uncultured bacterium. RNAcentral's name for it is "partial 16S ribosomal RNA". It matches the Rfam family "Bacterial small subunit ribosomal RNA", at positions 338 to 795 of the family's 1533-position model. The record is from RNAcentral.